RNAcentral lists this ribosomal RNA (497 nucleotides) under uncultured bacterium. RNAcentral describes it as "partial 16S ribosomal RNA". It matches the Rfam family "Bacterial small subunit ribosomal RNA", at positions 28 to 507 of the family's 1533-position model. The record is from RNAcentral.
GAUGAACGCUGGCGGCGUGCCUAAUACAUGCAAGUCGAGCGAACAGACGAGGAGCUUGCUCCUCUGACGUUAGCGGCGGACGGGUGAGUAACACGUGGAUAACCUACCUAUAAGACUGGGAUAACUUCGGGAAACCGGAGCUAAUACCGGAUAAUAUAUUGAACCGCAUGGUUCAAUAGUGAAAGACGGUUUUGCUGUCACUUAUAGAUGGAUCCGCGCCGCAUUAGCUAGUUGGUAAGGUAACGGCUUACCAAGGCAACGAUGCGUAGCCGACCUGAGAGAGUGAUCGGCCACACUGGAACUGAGACACGGUCCAGACUCCUACGAGAGGCAGCAGUAGGGAAUCUUCCGCAAUGGGCGAAAGCCUGACGGAGCAACGCCGCGUGAGUGAUGAAGGUCUUCGGAUCGUAAAACUCUGUUAUUAGGGAAGAACAAAUGUGUAAGUAACUAUGCACGUCUUGACGGUACCUAAUCAGAAAGCCACGGCUAACUACGUG